RNAcentral lists this antisense RNA (47 nucleotides) under Methylosinus sp. sav-2. Its description in RNAcentral is "ctRNA". It matches the Rfam family "ctRNA". From Rfam's summary of the family: This family represents a group of ctRNAs (or counter-transcribed RNAs) from p42d and related plasmids. ctRNAs are small, highly structured, antisense sequences which are involved in negative regulation. Lineage: Bacteria; Pseudomonadati; Pseudomonadota; Alphaproteobacteria; Hyphomicrobiales; Methylocystaceae. The record is from RNAcentral.
AGAAGGGCUUCCGGGGCGUGAUCGUUUCGGGGGCCUUUUUCUUUUGC